CCUACGGGGUGCAGCAGUGGGGGAUAUUGCACAAUGGGGGAGACCCUGAUGCAGCGACGCCGCGUGGGUGAAGAAGCGCCUCGGCGCUGAAAGCCCUUUCAGCAGGGGAGAAAAUGACGGUACCUGAAGAAGAAGCCCCGGCUAUCUACGUGCCAGCAGCCGCGGUAAUACGUAGGGGGCAAGCGUUAUCCGGAUUUACUGGGUGUAAAGGGGGCGCAGAGGGCGAUGCAAGCGAGGAGUGAAAGCCCGGGGCCCAACCCCGGGACUGCUCUUGGAACUGCGUGGCUAGAGUGCAGGAGGGGCAGGCGGAAUGCCUGGUGUAGCGGUGAAAUGCGUAGAUAUCAGGAGGAACACCGGUGGCGAAGGCGGCCUGCUGGACUGCAACUGACGUUGAGGCCCGAAAGCGUGGGGAGCAAACAGGAUUAGAUACCCGAGUAGUC
Molecule: ribosomal RNA, 440 nt
Filed under: uncultured bacterium
Lineage: Bacteria
Description: partial 16S ribosomal RNA
Rfam family: Bacterial small subunit ribosomal RNA
Source: RNAcentral